Molecule: ribosomal RNA, 253 nt
Filed under: uncultured bacterium
Lineage: Bacteria
Description: partial 16S ribosomal RNA
Rfam family: Bacterial small subunit ribosomal RNA
Source: RNAcentral
UACAGAGGUCCCAAGCGUUGUUCGGAUUCACUGGGCGUAAAGGGUGCGUAGGCGGUCGGGUAAGUCUGGCGUGAAAUCUCCAAGCCUAACUUGGAAACUGCGUUGGAUACUAUCCGGCUCGAGGAAUGGAGGGGAGACUGGAAUACUUGGUGUAGCAGUGAAAUGCGUAGAUAUCAGGAGGAACACCGGUGGCGAAGGCGGCCAUCUGGACGACAACUGACGCUGAGGCGCGAAAGCGUGGGGAUCAAACAGG